UGCCUUGGCAGUCAGAGGCGAUGAAAGACGUGGUAGCCUGCGAUAAGCUUCGGGGAGUCGGCAAACAGACUUUGAUCCGGAGAUCUCUGAAUGGGGGAACCCACCUAGGAUAACCUAGGUAUCUUGUACUGAAUCCAUAGGUGCAAGAGGCGAACCAGGGGAACUGAAACAUCUAAGUACCCUGAGGAAAAGAAAUCAACCGAGAUUCCCUUAGUAGUGGCGAGCGAACGGGGAUUAGCCCUUAAGCUUCAUUGAUUUUAGCGGAACGCUCUGGAAAGUGCG
RNAcentral lists this ribosomal RNA (282 nucleotides) under uncultured Thalassiosira. RNAcentral's name for it is "partial Bacterial large subunit ribosomal RNA". It matches the Rfam family "Bacterial large subunit ribosomal RNA", at positions 29 to 310 of the family's 2925-position model. The record is from RNAcentral. Lineage: Eukaryota; Bacillariophyta; Thalassiosirophyceae; Thalassiosirales; Thalassiosiraceae.